Long non-coding RNA from Thamnophis elegans (Western terrestrial garter snake), 1275 nucleotides. RefSeq lists it as uncharacterized. NCBI's taxonomy places the organism in Eukaryota, Metazoa, Chordata, Lepidosauria, Squamata, Natricidae. The record is from RefSeq and is a predicted model, not a curated record. The transcript has 3 exons.
GAGUCUGCUUCGUGCUUUUGGGAAGCCUAGAUCAGAACAGCUUUAUUUUGAAGAAACCUAAAGCUUAAUGAAUAACAAUAAAGAACCAUAAAUAAAGAGAAAAUGGGAUAAAGUGUUUGCACCUGGCCUGAAGUGUAAUACAGCACAGAUACGAGUCAUCUGCUCCCAACUGCCCUACACAAUAUAGUUAUUUCCUUCCCUUUCAGGGGUGUCAAACUGGCGUCCUACAGGCAGGAUGCGUCAUGUGCAGGCCACUCCCACUCCAGCUCCGUGAAGGGAAAAAACAUCUUGAAAUGGCAACGUGACACCGCAGGUCACAACUAAAGUGCUGUUUUCAAAGGACCGGAGAGACAAUGUAAGUAAUCGUGGAAAAGAAUAGGAACAUAGUGACGUCAAUGAGGGCAUUACAGGUAGCUAACAGGAAAACCAACCAACCAACCAACCAACCAACCAACCAACCAACCAACCAACCAACCAACCAACCAACAGAAGCCUAGUGCAGUGAUCCCCAACCCCUGGGCCAUGGCAUGCCAGAAACCAGUCCGCAACAAACAAGAGAAGGCCCAUCCGUGGGAUUCAGGCAUCAUGUGAAAUCACAUACCCUCCAUUCUGCAGAAAAACCUCUCUCCACUGAAUCGGUCUCUGGUGCCCAAAAGGUUGGGGGCAAUUGUUUGGUGCAGUAAUGGCAAAUCUUUUAGACACUGAGUGCCCAAACUCCUUUGCCUUUUAGAGAAAUGGCUGUCUUGUUAAAAGAAACUGAGUGGUCAAUUUUGAAAAUCCACAGCUCGAGGGCAGCUUAGUUAAAAGCACUUUAAACAUAGCAUUGCAUUCAUUUUAUUCUGUUUACCAAAGUUGGGAACAAGAUUUUUAAGUUGGUAAGUGUUCUUCAUGUGACAUACAAAAUGACUAUAAAAAUGAUAAAACCCAGAUGAUACAAAACCAUUUUUUUUAAAAAAGGAUAGGGAUAGCAACAUUCCACCUAAAAACAGGAGUAGUCAACAUUCAACAUCAUUUCAUAAGACCUAGUAGCAACCAGUGAUACCUAAUGCAAGGAUACCUAAUGGAUUUCUUUUGGAUGGCAAUUUAAGAAAGCCAAUCCUACCGCAGAAAAGAAUUUGCUUGUGCUAUUCCAAGCUCUAAACAAGCUCUUUCAAAUGGCAUGAGAAAUGUUCCACACUAAAUAAAUCAGAACUAGCAACAUGGAAAGGGACACGGUGGUUCAGUGGCUAAGACGCUGAGCUUGUCGAUCAGAAUGAUUGGCAAUUCGGUGGUUCG